GACGAACGCUGGCGGCGUGCCUAAUACAUGCAAGUAGAACGCUGAAGAGAGGAGCUUGCUCUUCUUGGAUGAGUUGCGAACGGGUGAGUAACGCGUAGGUAACCUGCCUUGUAGCGGGGGAUAGCUAUUGGAAACGAUAGCUAAUACCGCAUAACAAUGGAUGACACAUGUCAUUUAUUUGAAAGGGGCAAUUGCUCCACUACAAGAUGGACCUGCGUUGUAUUAGCUAGUAGGUGAGGUAAUGGCUCACCUAGGCGACGAUACAUAGCCGACCUGAGAGGGUGAUCGGCCACACUGGGACUGAGACACGGCCCAGACUCCUACGGGAGGCAGCAGUAGGGAAUCUUCGGCAAUGGGGGCAACCCUGACCGAGCAACGCCGCGUGAGUGAAGAAGGUUUUCGGAUCGUAAAGCUCUGUUGUAAGUCAAGAACGGGUGUGAGAGUGGAAAGUUCACACUGUGACGGUAGCUUGCCAGAAAGGGACGGCUAACUACGUG
Molecule: ribosomal RNA, 497 nt
Filed under: uncultured bacterium
Lineage: Bacteria
Description: partial 16S ribosomal RNA
Rfam family: Bacterial small subunit ribosomal RNA
Source: RNAcentral